Long non-coding RNA from Homo sapiens (human), 5124 nucleotides. Ensembl annotates it as ID2 antisense RNA 1. Its record names the gene ID2-AS1. NCBI's taxonomy places the organism in Eukaryota, Metazoa, Chordata, Mammalia, Primates, Hominidae. The record is from Ensembl.
GCGAGCCCAGCUGGGGUGGUAAAUAGAGUACAGUACAGAUUCUGUGUGAAGAAUACAGAGACAGACGUUCCAUUUCAAAGAAAAAAGAGCAACACGAAGGCCCUCUUUAAGGAGAGAGUAAACAUUCACUUUAGGUAAAAAAUAGUCUUUUACACGCCUGUGCACGGCACACCUCUUUUGCUGUUCACCUUGAGCCCAAGAGUUUGGAAAGGCUGCCCCCAUUUCAGAGAGGAAGAAACGCAGGCACACGUGAAUGACAGACUCCUCUGUGGUGGCCUAGACUCCAGCCAACACUUCCUAGGACAGCCUGCCAUUGUGCAAAGUCACCAUGUAACAAAUGCAGACAUCUCUGAGAUCACCAUGCAGUGAGGAAGUCUAAGCUGGUGGCAUGAAGAGGCCACAUGGAAAGGGCUAAAAAAGGGGCCAGCCUCAGUCAUCCCAGCUGAGCACCUGGCUGGGAAUAAAAGAGGACUCCGUGGAUGUCCAGCCCAGUAAGAUGACCUCAGCCCCAGCCACCAACUGACCAAGCACACAAGACAUCGUGAGGCUGCCUGCUGGAGCCUGGCCAGUGGGACUGUAGAGUAACUCAUUGUCGUGCAGGAACUCCUGGGAUGGUGUUGCCCAGUGACACAAUCCCAGUGUGGCCAUUUCUGAUCCCGAGAAAGCAGUCAGGAGUGGGUGGAUGCAGUUACAGUUCAUCAAGUCCUGCUAGUUCAAGUCAUGAGUCCUGAAUUCUCCAGGAGGAGCCACUAAAGAAAUGCAGAAGCAGGCAAUCCUUGCAAUAAGGCCAGCAAACUGCCAGUGUGAAGGAUGCCCAGGUAACCUGCCCAUGCCAGAACGGCCAGGAGAUGGUGGAACCAGAAUCUAAGCCCACGCCCAUCUGACCUCAAAGUCUGUGCUCCUGAGGUUCGCACCGAGUUGCCUCCUAAGACUUGCUGAAACUGGAUCACGUCCAUUUACCCAUCUCUGAGAGAAAUGCAAGCUUUAAAAAAGGAAAUAUUUACUAUGGAUAUUUUACAAUAGUUCCAAAACAUGAAAGUUUUAAAUAAGAUAUUCUUAACCAUCCUCACCACAUCUUCAGGUUCCCUUACAGCCACUGUGUUUUGACGAUUGCCCAUUAGAAAAAAAGACUAUGCUUUCUGUAGGUUUUAAAGGAAUGGUGGUGAAAUAAGGAGCAUUCCCUGAGCAGAUCUUGCCUGCGGGCACACCUCUGAGCAUUGGACCAGGCGAGAAGAGCCCAUGUGUUGGCUGCUUUGGGAUCCCAGCACUGCCAAUGGCAGGUGGGCUGUGGCCCAGGGAGAGAACCUAGCCUUUUGCAUUCUCUUGCCCCAUUUGAAAAUGGAGACGAUAGUGGCGCCCCGCUCAGUGUUAUUUUGAGGAUUUGAAUGUAUCUCAGAUGUAGUACCUGGAAAAAUAUAAGUGCUCAGUAAAUACGGUUGCCAGAUAAAAUGCAGGAAACCUAUUUAAAUUUAAGUUUUGGCUGGACAAUGAAUAGAAUAAUUUUUCUUAGUAUGAGUAUGUCCUUAUAUUUCAUCUGCUAAAUUUAGCAACCUCCUCAGUAAACGAUCACUACAAUUGCAGAAACGCCUUAUGACAGAUAUAGUAAAUCUGUAAAGAAAUAGGAACUUGCAUUUAUUUUUACUAAGCUCUGACUGGUUAAGAUAACUGGGCAAGAGAAGAUAUCUUCGACUAAACUUGCAGCACAUAGAGUAUAGAGAUUCAAAUUUGAAGUCCUAUAGGACUAGAAUGGCCAGAGGUGAACUGUAGCGAGCUUAUCUAAAGAGGACCAAUUUCAAAAGUUCCUCAGAGACUUAAAUGGGCCCACAGACCCCUCCUGUGUCUUUGCAUAAGCCAGCUCGUUAUAUCAGUUAUAAGUUGAUUUCCAGAGAAAUGUACCCUGGAGAUCCCUCUCCCACUUGAAAUAGGACUGGCCAAUCCAGAUGUCCCCCAGGUGAUGUUGGCUCAAAUGGAGCUCCAUAUAUUGGAGAAUCUAUUCAAGAAAACAAGCAAAAGUAUUUGUGACUGAGUUAGCUAAUGCCAGCUGGUAUCUUGAACAAACCCAGAUCUCUAACAUGCUAGUUUAUUUCGUAGUGUAAAAUGUGUGUUACUGAUGGGCAGACAGCUCUCAUUCAAGCAGUGACAGAUGUAAGCUCUUCCCAUUUUUGUGGCCCCAUUGUAUUCGGCGUGUGGCUUCCAAGUUGCCUGGGAUCAUCUCCACCCAGACUAAGGAAGAGGAAAGAGCUUGGACAACUGCACUUGGCUGGUUUUUAUGGAUCAGGCAAGGAAUUGGCUCCAACACAUUAGCUCACAUUCCAUUGGUUAGAACUGGGUUUCUCAACUAUUAGUACAGGGUGAGUGUAGGGUUUUGGCACCAUGGGCAUUUGAGCUGGCCAAAGGCUAAUCAGAGUUAGAACAAAGCCACAAAGCCUGUGAAUGGUGUUUAUUGUUGUGAGGAGCUGUCUUGUGCAUUGUGGAAUGUUCAGCAGGAUGCUCUCUGGCCUCAGAGACUCACUAGAUUCCCAUAGAACUCUCCUCUCUCCUCUAGUUGUGACAACCACAGUUGCCUCCUCUCCAGACAUUGCUAGAUGUCCCCGGGAGGCAAAAUUGUCCUGGUUGAGAACCACUGUGUUAGAACUCGGUCACAUGGCCAUACCUAACUGCAAGGGAGGGGGCUGGAAGAUCUAGACGAGUAGUAUGCCAGGAAGAAAAUAGAACUGAUUUAGAGGCUGCUGGCCAGUCACUUUCAGUGACCUUCAGCAUACUUAUUCCUCUGCAGCUGUCAGGACACUCAUGCCUGUUUCUGAGAUGUUUCCUGUGUGAGGGGACAUAGUGACUAUUGGAGGGGUGACAUGUUGGACUUGGGUAGGGUGAAGAGGAUUGGAAACCACCAUCAUGUUUGGCAGCAUUGAAUGUUUAUGACUAUUUGAAUAGUUGUGACAAGGGUACAGUGAAGGAGGAAGUAACCAUUUUUGAAUACCCUUUUACAAUUUGCAAAGCACUUUUAAAGGUAAGAGUGAGUUCCUAGACCAUAUUAGGGUGAGAAUGGACAUUGUUGGCUGCCAUAUCAUUGGGCAGGGGCUUUGAGAUUUUUGUCUUCAGAAGGCAGAUUAGAUUUGGAGUAGAAGGAGAAAUGUAAAGACCUGGUAUCUGAGUGUGUUUGCAGAGGGGAAUUGUCGUUUGGAAGCACAAGAAAGGGAAUGGCCCGUUGGCACAUAUGGUACAUUGUGUUUUCAUAUAAUUAUACCUGAAUGAAAGCAAGAGGAAACGUGUAGGAAGCUGUUUACAUAGUCCUUUUAAUAAUGUUUACAUGAGUUAAUGAACAUGCAAACGUAUCUGAUGAAAACAUGUCAGUAGUGAAACAGCCUUGUGAAGAAUCAGAUCUUACCUCAGGCUGGAAAAAAGGACUGGUUUUCCAAGCUCACAAAUUGCAGCCAGUGUGAAUAGUAGCACAAAUGACUGAGCUUUAAGACAUCCAUCCAUCCAUCUAUCCAUCCCCUCAUCCAUCCAUCCCCUCAUCCAUCCACCCAUCCAUCCAUCCCUUCAUCCAUCACUCCAUCCAGCCAUCCGUCCCUUCAUCAAUCCAUCCAUCCCUUCAUCCAUCCAUCCAUCCUUCCUUCCAUUCAUCCCUUCAUCCAUCCGUCCAUCCAUCCAUCCAUCCACUCAUUCAUCCCUUCAUCCAUCCAUCCAUCCAUCCUUCCUUCCUUCCAUUCAUCCCUUCAUCCAUCCGUCCAUCCAUCCAUCCACCCAUUCAUCCAUCCAUUCCUUCAUCAACUCAUCCCUUCAUCCAUCGUCUACCAUUCAUUCACCCCUUCAUCCAUCCAUUCAUUUAUCCAUCCGUCCAUUUACUUCCAUCCAUCCCUUUAUCCAUCCAUUCACCCAUUCAUCCCUUUAUCCAUAUGUCCAUUCCUCCAUCCAUCCAUCCAUCCAUUUACUCUUCAUCCCUUCAUCCAUUUUUCCAUCCAUUCAUCCAUUCAUCUUUUCAUCCAUCCAUCCAUUGAUCUAUCCAUCCAUCCAUUGCUCCAUCCAACCAUCCAUCCAUCCCUUCGUCCCUUCAUCCAUCCAUCCAUUCAUCCCAUCAUCCAUUGAUCACUUCAUCCAUCCAUCCUUCCAUCCUUCCAUCCAUUCUUCCAUUCAUCCAUCCAUGUGUUCAGCAAGUAUUUACUGAAUGCCUAUUAUGUGCCAAGCACUCUCCUCAGAACUUAGGAAAUACCAGGAAACAAAAUCAACAACAAUCCCUCACCACCUGGAUAUUACAUUUUGGUGGGAAGAGACAAAGAAAUAAAAUUGGUGAGUGAAUCACAUAGGUUAUUAGAAGGUGAUAAAGGUGUAGGUGAUAAAGGAGAAGUGCCAGGAGCAAGGAUUGGGUACAGUUGUGAAUAAGGUGGCCCCAAUAGGUUGCACUGAGAAGGUGACAUUUGCACAGAGACUUGAAGAAAGGAAGGAGAGAACAUGACUGUACCUGGGUAACAGCAUUUGUGGAAGAGGGAACAGCCAGUGUAAAAGUUCCAAGGCAUGAGUGCCUGGUACAUACAUGGAACAUCGAGGCCAGGGUGGCAGAAACGCGGUGAGUCCAGGAAGGGAAUAGGAACUAAGUGUAGGAAGGUGUACAGUGGGGUGGUGUGGGGGUGGAAUUGUGGCAGCCAGAUGGUGUUGGCCUAAGGCCUCUUGGCCCUUGUUAGGACUUGGUUUACCAUGGCGCAACACAUCCAUGAGAUUGGCAAAAAUUAAAAAGUCUGACAACAGAAAAUCUGGUAAUCUGGUGAGGAUGUGGAGCAGUGGGAAUUCUCCAAUACUGCCAGGGAGCAUGGGCAUCAAUCCCACCACACUGGAAUGCAAAGGGGCAUUCUGAGUAGAACUGAAGAUGUGCCCAUCCUUGACCCCACAGUUCCAGCCAUGGGCAUGCGCAUGAAUGUGCACACGUGUUGACUGCGGCAUUUGUUUGUCAUUAUGAAAACAUCUAAGUUUCCAUCUAUGGGAGAGGGGAUAAUGUGGGAGUGCCCAACAGUGGAGUUCUAGAGAGCAGUAAAAAUAAAUGGACUAGAGCUGCACACGUCAAAAUGGAUGAAGAUAAAAGACAUAAGGAUGGAAGAAGACCACCUGGCCACAGAAGUAUAUGUCCAAUAU